GUGCCUGCUUCAACAGCACAUACAGUAAAUUGGAACUUCUCUGGACACACAGAAGAUUAGCACAGCGCGUGUGUAAGGGUGACGUGCAGGUCUGUGUGAAGCAUUCCAUAUGUUU
This 115-nucleotide small nuclear RNA is filed under the name Ovis aries (sheep). The record is from RNAcentral. Lineage: Eukaryota; Metazoa; Chordata; Mammalia; Artiodactyla; Bovidae.